AGUGAACGCUGGCGGUAGGCCUACCACAUGCAAGUCGAACGGCAGCACAGUAAGAGCUUGCUCUUACGGGUGGCGAGUGGCGGACGGGUGAGGAAUACAUCGGAAUCUACUUUUUCGUGGGGGAUAACGUAGGGAAACUUACGCUAAUACCGCAUACGACCUACGGGUGAAAGCAGGGGAUCUUCGGACCUUGCGCGAUUGAAUGAGCCGAUGUCGGAUUAGCUAGUUGGCGGGGUAAAGGCCCACCAAGGCGACGAUCCGUAGCUGGUCUGAGAGGAUGAUCAGCCACACUGGAACUGAGACACGGUCCAGACUCCUACGGGAGGCAGCAGUGGGGAAUAUUGGACAAUGGGCGCAAGCCUGAUCCAGCCAUACCGCGUGGGUGAAGAAGGCCUUCGGGUUGUAAAGCCCUUUUGUUGGGAAAGAAAAGCAGCAGGUUAAUACCCCGCUGUUCUGACGGUACCCAAAGAAUAAGCACCGGCUAACUUCGUG
RNAcentral lists this ribosomal RNA (492 nucleotides) under uncultured bacterium. RNAcentral describes it as "partial 16S ribosomal RNA". It matches the Rfam family "Bacterial small subunit ribosomal RNA", at positions 29 to 507 of the family's 1533-position model. The record is from RNAcentral.